RNAcentral lists this ribosomal RNA (233 nucleotides) under uncultured bacterium. RNAcentral's name for it is "partial 16S ribosomal RNA". It matches the Rfam family "Bacterial small subunit ribosomal RNA", at positions 15 to 235 of the family's 1533-position model. The record is from RNAcentral.
AAUCAUGGCUCAGGAUGAACGCUAGCUACAGGCUUAACACAUGCAAGUCGAGGGGGCAGCGGGAUUGAAGCUUGCUUCAAUUGCCGGCGACCGGCGCACGGGUGAGUAACGCGUAUCCAACCUUCCGUACACUCAGGGAUAGGCCUUUCGAAAGAAAGAUUAAUACCUGAUGGUAUGAUGAGAUUGCAGUGAUAGCAUCAUUAAAGAUUUAUCGGUGUACGAUGGGGGAUGCG